UUCAAUAGCAUGCUUUGAAUGAAAUAGGCAUGAGUUCUAGCAUUUGGAACUAAAUGAUGAAACGCCUUCUAAGUAAUAACCAAGCAAAGAAUAAUGAGAUCAUGCAACGACUUUAGAAAACAAGAAUGCACAGAUUUUAACUCUCCAAAUAACCGUUUAGGCUCAAGUCUCACAAGGUUGUAGCGUUAGUUUGAGUUCCUUCCUUCAAGCAUGUUACAAAAACUAAUUUUUUUUUUCUUUAUGAUUACAUGUGAAUUCAUAAGUUAUAACCACAACCAAGCAUAAACCAAAGAGUAAAUCAAACUUUCAUCCAUGUUUAUAACUCUCUUUAACAGUCAUGCAAUUAAAAACCGAAUCCUCAUCAUUGUGUUGGAAGGUACCCUAAGACACAAACAAACACACAAAAACAACUUAAAAACGACUCUUUUUGGGUUUUUUAAAACAAAUUUUCAAAUUUUUAUGGGAUUUUCGGAUUUUUGAAUCAAAACACAUUAAAACACACCAAAACAGCCUAAAAACACCUAAAAACAGCAAGAAACAACAUUAGAAAUUAAUGGGUGAGAAACCCUACGAAUUUGCAUCAAAACACUUUGGUUACCCCCCCACACUUAAACUAAACAUUGUCCUCAAUGUUUUAAGCAUAGACUCACACAAAAACACAUAAACAAAUACUAACAACCGAACAUGGCAGAAACGAAAUAAACAACAAAGAGAAGGGUUUAGGAACGCAAAUCUGGAAUUGGAGUGCUCUCUAGGUCUUCCUUUGUCGAAUGCAUGGGUUGCCUCCCAAGAAGUGCUUGCUUUAACGUCUUCCAGCCGGACGGUACCUCCGUUUAAGCUUGACUAUGUGCCACGGCAUGGAGGGGUACCUCCUCCACGACAUGC
RNAcentral lists this long non-coding RNA (885 nucleotides) under Malus domestica (apple). RNAcentral describes it as "long non-coding RNA (MDOM_LNC007643)". Lineage: Eukaryota; Viridiplantae; Streptophyta; Magnoliopsida; Rosales; Rosaceae. The record is from RNAcentral.